AUUGAACGCUGGCGGCAGGCCUAACACAUGCAAGUCGAGCGGAUGAAGGGAGCUUGCUCCUGGAUUCAGCGGCGGACGGGUGAGUAAUGCCUAGGAAUCUGCCUGGUAGUUGGGGAUAACGUCCGGAAACGGGCGCUAAUACCGCAUACGUCCUGAGGGAGAAAGUGGGGGAUCUUCGGACCUCACGCUAUCAGAUGAGCCUAGGUCGGAUUAGCUAGUUGGUGGGGUAAAGGCCUACCAAGGCGACGAUCCGUAACUGGUCUGAGAGGAGGAUCAGUCACACUGGAACUGAGACACGGUCCAGACUCCUACGGGAGGCAGCAGUGGGGAAUAUUGGACAAUGGGCGAAAGCCUGAUCCAGCCAUGCCGCGUGUGUGAAGAAGGUCUUCGGAUUGUAAAGCACUUUAAGUUGGGAGGAAGGGCAGUAAGUUAAUACCUUGCUGUUUUGACGUUACCAACAGAAUAAGCACCGGCUAACUUCGUG
This 484-nucleotide ribosomal RNA is filed under the name uncultured bacterium. RNAcentral's name for it is "partial 16S ribosomal RNA". It matches the Rfam family "Bacterial small subunit ribosomal RNA", at positions 30 to 507 of the family's 1533-position model. The record is from RNAcentral.